Molecule: long non-coding RNA, 460 nt
Filed under: Elaeis guineensis (African oil palm)
Lineage: Eukaryota; Viridiplantae; Streptophyta; Magnoliopsida; Arecales; Arecaceae
Description: long non-coding RNA (EGUI_LNC034574)
Source: RNAcentral
AUGUUACUCAACAUCACUAGUGAAUUAUGAGAUCUCACUAGUAUCAUUCUGGAUCGAUAAUCCUUAUUGGGUGUGAGUUAGAAUUGUUCUAGCCCAUCGAAAGAUAUUUCGAUGAUACUAUAUUAGAAAUCAUAGUAUAUCUCACUAUCAGAUAGAACAAAAUCUAUGGGGUUAUACUACAAAAAAAAUUUUGGACUGAUCAAAUAGUUAAGUUAUGAUUAUGAAUCAUAACAGGAUUUAAUUACCAAUAUGAUUGAUAAUACACAAGUUGAAAUUAACUAAUUCGCUAAAUAUUAUUGAAUUAUAGAAGGUUCAAUUAGCAAUUGGAUUAUUGUCUAGCUUAAUCUGAUUGAGCUAUGGGGUUCAAAUCAGAUUUAAUUGUAUUAGAUUUAGUUUAGUUUGAUUUUAAUUUGAUUAGAUCAAGUCUAACUGGAUUAUGAGAUAACCCAAUUGCAUGAGG